Molecule: ribosomal RNA, 773 nt
Filed under: uncultured Neocallimastigales
Lineage: Eukaryota; Fungi; Neocallimastigomycota; Neocallimastigomycetes; Neocallimastigales
Description: partial large subunit ribosomal RNA
Rfam family: Eukaryotic large subunit ribosomal RNA
Source: RNAcentral
CGCAUCUGUGCAUGCAGCAUAUCAAUAAGCGGAGGAAAAGAAACUAACAAGGAUUCCCCUAGUAACGGCGAGUGAAGCGGGAAGAGCUCAAAUUUGAAAUCUUAAAGGGUUUCCCUUUACGAAUUGUAGUUUAAAGAAGUGUUUUCUGUUGAGGUUUUGGUAAAAGUUCUUUGGAAUAGGACAUCAUAGAGGGUGAGAAUCCCGUAUUUGACCUUUACUUUCAACUUUGUGAUACACUUUCAAAGAGUCGGAUUGUUUGGGAAUGCAGUCCAAAAUGGGUGGUAAAUUUCAUCUAAAGCUAAAUAUUGGCGAGAGACCGAUAGCGGACAAGUACCGUGAGGGAAAGAUGAAAAGAACUUUGAAAAGAGAGUUAAACAGUACGUGAAAUUGUCAAAAGGGAAGCGUUUGACACCAGUGUUGUUUUUCUGAAAAUCAAUUAAAGAACUGUUUAUGCUAAGUUGUUUAGACUUUAUCAGCUAUCUGUUUAGUUUUGAGCUUUUCUUUAAUGCACUUUUCAGUUAACAAGUCAACAUCAAUUUCUUUUGCUGUAAAAAAGCUUGAGGAAGGUGGCUUGAGAUUCGUCUUAAGUGUUUAUAGCCUCUUGCCUAUGCAGUCGGAGAGAUUGAGGUCUGCAGCGUAGAUCCUUCGGGGCUAAAUGCAUUUGUGCUAGGUUAUAGCAUUUAUAGACAACUUGUUGACUAUGAUUUGUCUUGUAGCUUACUCGCUUAUGUUAUUUUACCUACGCUUAGGAUGUUUACAGCAGUAUAGACUGU